This is an RNA transcript of Cucumis melo (muskmelon), 1987 nucleotides long. RefSeq lists it as uncharacterized. Lineage: Eukaryota; Viridiplantae; Streptophyta; Magnoliopsida; Cucurbitales; Cucurbitaceae. The record is from RefSeq and is a predicted model, not a curated record. The transcript has 6 exons.
GGAAGAGCAAUGAUCAGAAGAAUAACAUGAGAGGCACGGUGAAGUUGGAGCCAAAUGGCAGUGGCCAUUUCUUGACCAAACCAAGCAUCAGCAGUCAGCCGAGCUCUGCGUCCGCCAUUAUUCCCUUUCACUCCCAGCACUCAAUUCUGACCCUUCAAAUAAUUCGACCUCCACACCCUUCUCUGGACUCGGGUCCACCAUUCUCUCUCUUUCUCUCUCUUAAACAUAUGGGAGAGAAGUCUUCAUUCUUUGAAGAACGUGGUAACUGGAUCAACAUCUUCUGCUCCCUUUCUCCACUGUCCCUAUAAAGUAACAAAUCUUCUGGAAAAAGAAAAACAAAGGGUUCUAAACCAAAGGAAUGUCGGUUUCAAUUUCACCCCUUCCCACUUAAGUAAAGGACUCGAAUUUCGUUUCUUCAGUGUAGAAUCUGAAUUUCGGUUCUGAGCCGGCGGCGAUAUGGGUGGCGUUACUUCUUCCAUGGCGGCCAAGUUCGCCUUCUUCCCGCCCAACCCACCUUCGUAUAAGCUCAUAACCGAUGAUCUUACUGGCCUUUUGCUUCUCAGCCCUUUCCCUCAUCGCGAAAAUGUUGAGGUUCUGAAACUAUCCACUCGCCGGAGCACCGAUAUCGUUGCAAUUUAUGUCCGGCAUCCUAUGGCGACUUCAACUCUGCUGUAUUCUCAUGGCAACGCCGCCGAUUUGGGUCAAAUGUAUGAGCUCUUCAUCGAGCUUAGCAUUCACCUACGUGUUAAUCUAAUGGGGUACGAUUAUUCGGGUUAUGGUCAAUCAUCUGGAAAGCCAUCUGAGCAAAAUACAUAUGCAGAUAUUGAGGCUGCAUAUAAGUGUCUUGAAGAAAGCUAUGGUACCAAGCAGGAGGAUAUCAUCCUAUAUGGUCAAUCCGUUGGGAGUGGUCCAACUUUGGAUCUUGCAGCUCGACUUCCUCGGCUAAGAGCUGUUGUUUUACAUAGUCCUAUACUUUCUGGGUUAAGAGUCAUGUAUCCUGUAAAGCGCUCUUACUGGUUUGAUAUUUAUAAGAACAUCGAUAAAAUUUCUCAGGUCCAUUGCCCUAUUCUCAUCAUUCAUGGAACUUCAGAUGAUGUGGUUGAUUGCUCACAUGGCAAGCAACUUUGGGAACUCUGUAAAGAGAAAUACGAACCACUGUGGCUAAAAGGCGGAAACCACUGUAAUUUGGAGCUCUAUCCUGAGUAUAUCAGACAUCUAAAGAAGUUCGUUGCAACAGUCGAGAAACCUCUCUCUCAAAGAUACAGUGCCAGAAAGAGUACAGACCAAUAUGAGCAGCCACGGAAGAGCACAGAUUUUUUUGAUAUUCCAAGGAAGAGCACGGACUGGAGAGAAAAACCCUGGCAGAGCACUGAUCAAUCAGAGAAACCGAAGAAUCACUCAAGUGCUACUGAUAAGUUAGAAAAGCUUAGACUCUCCUUUAACCAUGGGGAAAGGUCUCGCAGAAGUGUUGAUUGCCAUGAAAAGUCACGUAAAAGUGUCGACCACCAGUUGGAAAGAGCGAGAAAAAGCGUUGAUCGGCUUGAUAGAAUACGGACUGGGUAAUUUUUCCUAUAGAUAGAUUGCAAGAUUCAUGGAAUUGAGCGUGCAUUUGCAAGGAAAAGGUGACAAAGACAGGCUAGAUAGAUGCUCUGAAUUCAAAAUGCAGCGAUGAUUAUUACAGAGAAGCUAUAGUCAAAGGUUGAUGAUGAUGAGGGGUUUAUUUAAUCCCAAAAAUUGUUGGGAAACUGAAGACAUUUUGGCUUUUGGAACAUGGGAAGAAGAAAAAAAGAAAAAGGAAAGGAGCAUGCUUUGAUAUGAAGAAGACUUUGCAUUUGCAGGAAAUAGGCGCGAGGAUUUGACUUUUUGUCCAACUUUCAUUAUCUUUAUUCAAAGUCUUUCUUCAGCAGAAUCUUAUAUAAUGUCUAGUCUCCCAACACAUUACACAACAUUAUGCAAUGCUUUCAAAGCAUGUCCCUUUUUGGCUGUC